Molecule: ribosomal RNA, 467 nt
Filed under: uncultured bacterium
Lineage: Bacteria
Description: partial 16S ribosomal RNA
Rfam family: Bacterial small subunit ribosomal RNA
Source: RNAcentral
GACGAACGCUGGCGGCGUGCUUAACACAUGCAAGUCGAACGGAAAGGCCCUGCUUUUGUGGGGUGCUCGAGUGGCGAACGGGUGAGUAACACGUGAGUAACCUGCCCUUGACUUUGGGAUAACUUCAGGAAACUGGGGCUAAUACCGGAUUGGAGCUCCUGCUGCAUGGUGGGGGUUGGAAAGUUUCGGCGGUUGGGGAUGGACUCGCGGCUUAUCAGCUUGUUGGUGGGGUAGUGGCUUACCAAGGCUUUGACGGGUAGCCGGCCUGAGAGGGUGACCGGCCACAUUGGGACUGAGAUACGGCCCAGACUCCUACGGGAGGCAGCAGUGGGGAAUAUUGCACAAUGGGCGGAAGCCUGAUGCAGCAACGCCGCGUGCGGGAUGACGGCCUUCGGGUUGUAAACCGCUUUCGCCUGUGACGAAGCGUGAGUGACGGUAAUGGGUAAAGAAGCACCGGCUAACUACGU